This 253-nucleotide ribosomal RNA is filed under the name uncultured bacterium. RNAcentral's name for it is "partial 16S ribosomal RNA". It matches the Rfam family "Bacterial small subunit ribosomal RNA", at positions 524 to 776 of the family's 1533-position model. The record is from RNAcentral.
UACGUAGGUGACAAGCGUUGUCCGGAUUUACUGGGUGUAAAGGGCGCGUAGGCGGGAUAGCAAGUCAGUCGUGAAAUGCCGAGGCUUAACCUUGGAGCUGCGAUUGAAACUGUUAUUCUUGAGUAUCGGAGAGGAAAGCGGAAUUCCUAGUGUAGCGGUGAAAUGCGUAGAUAUUAGGAGGAACACCAGUGGCGAAGGCGGCUUUCUGGACGACAACUGACGCUGAGGCGCGAAAGUGUGGGGAGCAAACAGG